RNAcentral lists this long non-coding RNA (320 nucleotides) under Homo sapiens (human). RNAcentral's name for it is "non-protein coding lnc-BTF3L4-6:1". The record is from RNAcentral. Lineage: Eukaryota; Metazoa; Chordata; Mammalia; Primates; Hominidae.
GUCAUACUAGAAAAUAUUUGCAUCAUAUUUAACAGUCAAAGGAUUAAUGCACAGGAUAUGUAAAGACUCUGACAGAUCAUUAAGGAAAAAUGCAAACAUCAUAACAGAAAAAAAUGGACAAAGAAUUUGAACAGGAGGUCAUCGAAUGGGAAAUUCAAAAGGCUAAAAAAGUAAAAAUAUAUGUUCAGUCUUACUUUUUAUCAGGAAAAUGAUGAUCCCAUAAUGAAACAUUAUUUCUGCCUCUCAUUGGCAAAAAUAAUAGUAAUAGCAAAUUUAAGUAAUAAGAAAUCUUUGAGUACUUUCUAAACUGUAGGCAGAAC